Long non-coding RNA from Homo sapiens (human), 552 nucleotides. RefSeq lists it as uncharacterized. The transcript has 3 exons. Lineage: Eukaryota; Metazoa; Chordata; Mammalia; Primates; Hominidae. The record is from RefSeq and is a predicted model, not a curated record.
UCGGGGUCCAAAGGCUGGGAGGCCGCAGAGAACAUCCUGCAGGGCGUGGCCUAAGCAGCACGAGGGAUACAACUUGGGGCCUGGGCUGACCUGAAGCCACGAGGAGAGAAUAGUUCUACGGCAAAGCAGAGCCAGGGCCAAGGCAGAGACUCACCGGAAAGCAUCCCCCCAGCAGCCCCGUAUGUUUGAUGGGCCCCAGUGGAGAGCUGGCUAAUCUUGUUAAAAGAUAUUCAAGAUCUAAAGAAGAUCCAGAUCGGCCUGAAUAUGAGGUAUCAGUGUCCCCAUGCCCUACCCCACAGUGUGUGGCCGUUGUCUCCUUGAAGUGGAAGAGCAGGGACCAGAGGAUGCAGAAGAGGAAGGCGACAAGUGGACAGCAGACCGUGACCAGGGCCACCAUGGUGAAGCGGAGCCGUACCAGGGUCCCAUCCCGAUCCAGUGGUAGUGGGACCUGGUACAUCUUGUCAGACCUGGGGAUGGAGUGGCAUGCUGUCAGGGCCCCAGGCAGCCAGGCUGGCACUCAGUGAUAAAGUCAGCCCUUGUGCUCAGUCCUAA